Non-coding RNA from Dermacentor albipictus, 443 nucleotides. NCBI's taxonomy places the organism in Eukaryota, Metazoa, Arthropoda, Arachnida, Ixodida, Ixodidae. The record is from RefSeq and is a predicted model, not a curated record.
UUUGCGGUGAAGGAUAAAAAGUCAGCGUGUUUCUUUGCUACGCCCGGUUGCAAGCUUCUCAACGAACGCAUUCAGUGUGCGAAUUUGACUUUGUUGUGAGUGACGCUGUCAUGGUCGUUGAUUUGCUCGCAAACAACCCUGGUAAGAACCAUCCCACCCCACUCUAUGUGCCCUGGAACACGUGACCCGGAACACACCUACGUGUUUCAAGUAAAAUUUCCUCCACUUGUCACGCCGAAGAAUUUUAUUGUAUGUUUCUGUUCAGCGUGACCACCAUUGCAGUGUUAGAGCACGGAACCGAACGCAAGGUUGUUCAGUACUGGCCGCUAAUUGGGUUCAGGUUGAAAAACAAAUCUCCCUCGUUUGCUCGGACAUUUAACAUACUCUGUGCAUUUGAUAGAGAGUGUAUUUUCUUGUAUUUCUUCUAUUUUGCAUGUGUUAGU